AGAACGAACGCUGGCGGCAUGCCUAAUACACGCAAGUCGAACGAACUCUUCGGAGUUAGUGGCGCACGGGUGCGUAACGCGUGGGAAUCUGCCCUUGGGUUCGGAAUAACAGUUGGAAACGACUGCUAAUACCGGAUGAUGACGAAAGUCCAAAGAUUUAUCGCCCAGGGAUGAGCCCGCGUAGGAUUAGCUAGUUGGUGAGGUAAAGGCUCACCAAGGCGACGAUCCUUAGCUGGUCUGAGAGGAUGAUCAGCCACACUGGGACUGAGACACGGCCCAGACUCCUACGGGAGGCAGCAGUAGGGAAUAUUGGACAAUGGGCGAAAGCCUGAUCCAGCAAUGCCGCGUGAGUGAUGAAGGCCUUAGGUUGUAAAGCUCUUUUACCCGAGAUGAUAAUGACAGUAUCGGAGAAUAAGCCCCGGCUAACUCCGCGCCAGCAGCCGC
This 444-nucleotide ribosomal RNA is filed under the name uncultured soil bacterium. Its description in RNAcentral is "bacterial SSU rRNA". It matches the Rfam family "Bacterial small subunit ribosomal RNA", at positions 26 to 518 of the family's 1533-position model. The record is from RNAcentral.